RNAcentral lists this ribosomal RNA (773 nucleotides) under uncultured bacterium. RNAcentral's name for it is "bacterial SSU rRNA". It matches the Rfam family "Bacterial small subunit ribosomal RNA", at positions 8 to 798 of the family's 1533-position model. The record is from RNAcentral.
AGAGUUUGAUCCUGGCUCAGGACGAACGCUGGCGGCGUGCUUAACACAUGCAAGUCGAACGGAAAGGCCCUUCGGGGUACUCGAGUGGCGAACGGGUGAGUAACACGUGGGUGAUCUGCCCUGCACUUUGGGAUAAGCCUGGGAAACUGGGUCUAAUACCGAAUAUGACCACGCUCUUCAUGGGGUGUGGUGGAAAGCUUUUGCGGUGUGGGAUGGGCCCGCGGCCUAUCAGCUUGUUGGUGGGGUAAUGGCCUACCAAGGCGACGACGGGUAGCCGGCCUGAGAGGGUGACCGGCCACACUGGGACUGAGAUACGGCCCAGACUCCUACGGGAGGCAGCAGUGGGGAAUAUUGCACAAUGGGCGCAAGCCUGAUGCAGCGACGCCGCGUGAGGGAUGACGGCCUUCGGGUUGUAAACCUCUUUCACCAGGGACGAAGCGCAAGUGGCGGUACCUGGAGAAGAAGCACCGGCCAACUACGUGCCAGCAGCCGCGGUAAUACGUAGGGUGCGAGCGUUGUCCGGAAUUACUGGGCGUAAAGAGCUCGUAGGUGGUUUGUCGCGUUGUUCGUGAAAACUCACAGCUUAACUGUGGGCGUGCGGGCGAUACGGGCAGACUAGAGUACUGCAGGGGAGACUGGAAUUCCUGGUGUAGCGGUGGAAUGCGCAGAUAUCAGGAGGAACACCGGUGGCGAAGGCGGGUCUCUGGGCAGUAACUGACGCUGAGGAGCGAAAGCGUGGGGAGCGAACAGGAUUAGAUACCCUGGUAGUCCAA